UACGUAGGCAGCAAGCGUUGUUCGGAAUUACUGGGCGUAAAGAGUGUGUAGGCGGUGCUCCGAGUCUGGUGUGAAAUCUCCCGGCUUAACUGGGAGGGUGCAUUAGAAACUGGAAUGCUAGAGGAUGGGAGAGGUAAGCGGAAUUCCUGGUGUAGCGGUGAAAUGCGUAGAUAUCAGGAGGAACACCUGUGGUGUAGACAGCUUACUGGACCAUUUCUGACGCUGAGACACGAAAGCGUGGGUAGCAAACAGG
RNAcentral lists this ribosomal RNA (253 nucleotides) under uncultured bacterium. RNAcentral describes it as "partial 16S ribosomal RNA". It matches the Rfam family "Bacterial small subunit ribosomal RNA", at positions 524 to 776 of the family's 1533-position model. The record is from RNAcentral.